RNAcentral lists this ribosomal RNA (329 nucleotides) under uncultured eukaryote. RNAcentral describes it as "partial 18S ribosomal RNA". It matches the Rfam family "Eukaryotic small subunit ribosomal RNA", at positions 1470 to 1796 of the family's 1831-position model. The record is from RNAcentral.
CCCUUAGAUGUUCUGGGCCGCACGCGCGCUACAAUGAUGGAUUCAACGAGUUUAUAACCUUGGUUGAAAAGCCUGGGUAAUCUUUUGAACUUUCGUCGUGAUGGGGCUAGACCCUUGCAAUUAUUGGUCUCCAACGAGGAAUUCCUAGUAAACGCAAGUCAUCAGCUUGCAUUGAUUACGUCCCUGCCCUUUGUACACACCGCCCGUCGCACCUACCGAUUGAAUGGUCCGGUGAAAUCUUCGGAUUGAGACUUUGAUUUCUUCACGGAAAACGCUGUUUUAAAAAGUUGAUUAAACCUUACCAUUUAGAGGAAGGUGAAGUCGUAACA